RNAcentral lists this ribosomal RNA (866 nucleotides) under Trichothecium roseum. RNAcentral describes it as "partial large subunit ribosomal RNA". It matches the Rfam family "Eukaryotic large subunit ribosomal RNA", at positions 40 to 938 of the family's 3401-position model. The record is from RNAcentral. Lineage: Eukaryota; Fungi; Ascomycota; Sordariomycetes; Hypocreales.
AUAUCAAUAAGCGGAGGAAAAGAAACCAACAGGGAUUGCCCUAGUAACGGCGAGUGAAGCGGCAACAGCUCAAAUUUGAAAGCUGGCUCUCGGGCCCGCAUUGUAAUUUGCAGAGGAUGCUUCUGGCGACGCGCCUUCCGAGUUCCCUGGAACGGGACGCCAUAGAGGGUGAGAGCCCCGUCCGGUCGUGCGCCUAGCCUCUGUGAAGCUCCUUCGACGAGUCGAGUAGUUUGGGAAUGCUGCUCAAAAUGGGAGGUAUACGUCUUCUAAAGCUAAAUACCGGCCAGAGACCGAUAGCGCACAAGUAGAGUGAUCGAAAGAUGAAAAGCACUUUGAAAAGAGAGUUAAAAAGUACGUGAAAUUGUUGAAAGGGAAGCGCUCAUGACCAGACUUGGGCUGGCCCGAUCAUCCGGCGUUCUCGCCGGUGCACUCGGGCCGCCCAGGCCAGCAUCAGCUUUCGCCGGGGGAUAAAGGCGGCGGGAAUGUGGCUCCCUCGGGAGUGUUAUAGCCCGCCGUGCAAUACCCUGGUGGGGGCUGAGGUUCGCGCGUAUGCACGGAUGCUGGCGUAAUGGUUAUCAGCGACCCGUCUUGAAACACGGACCAAGGAGUCGUCUUCGUAUGCGAGUGUUCGGGUGUCAAACCCCUACGCGGAAUGAAAGUGAACGCUGGUGAGAGCUUCGGCGCAUCACCGACCGAUCCUGAUGUUCUCGGACGGAUUUGAGUAAGAGCAUACGGGGCCGGACCCGAAAGAAGGUGAACUAUGCCUGUAUAGGGUGAAGCCAGAGGAAACUCUGGUGGAGGCUCGCAGCGGUUCUGACGUGCAAAUCGAUCGUCAAAUAUGGGCAUGGGGGCGAAAGACUAAUCGA